This 730-nucleotide ribosomal RNA is filed under the name uncultured bacterium. RNAcentral's name for it is "bacterial SSU rRNA". It matches the Rfam family "Bacterial small subunit ribosomal RNA", at positions 771 to 1501 of the family's 1533-position model. The record is from RNAcentral.
AACAGGAUUAGAUACCCUGGUAGUCCACGCCGUAAACGAUGUCGACUUGGAGGUUGUGCCCUUGAGGCGUGGCUUCCGGAGCUAACGCGUUAAGUCGACCGCCUGGGGAGUACGGCCGCAAGGUUAAAACUCAAAUGAAUUGACGGGGGCCCGCACAAGCGGUGGAGCAUGUGGUUUAAUUCGAUGCAACGCGAAGAACCUUACCUACUCUUGACAUCCAGAGAACUUAGCAGAGAUGCUUUGGUGCCUUCGGGAACUCUGAGACAGGUGCUGCAUGGCUGUCGUCAGCUCGUGUUGUGAAAUGUUGGGUUAAGUCCCGCAACGAGCGCAACCCUUAUCCUUUGUUGCCAGCGGUUCGGCCGGGAACUCAAAGGAGACUGCCAGUGAUAAACUGGAGGAAGGUGGGGAUGACGUCAAGUCAUCAUGGCCCUUACGAGCAGGGCUACACACGUGCUACAAUGGCAUAUACAAAGAGAAGCGACCUCGCGAGAGCAAGCGGACCUCAUAAAGUAUGUCGUAGUCCGGAUUGGAGUCUGCAACUCGACUCCAUGAAGUCGGAAUCGCUAGUAAUCGUGGAUCAGAAUGCCACGGUGAAUACGUUCCCGGGCCUUGUACACACCGCCCGUCACACCAUGGGAGUGGGUUGCAAAAGAAGUAGGUAGCUUAACCUUCGGGAGGGCGCUUACCACUUUGUGAUUCAUGACUGGGGUGAAGUCGUAACAAGGUAACC